RNAcentral lists this ribosomal RNA (383 nucleotides) under Surirella sp. Its description in RNAcentral is "partial small subunit ribosomal RNA". It matches the Rfam family "Eukaryotic small subunit ribosomal RNA", at positions 582 to 975 of the family's 1831-position model. The record is from RNAcentral. Lineage: Eukaryota; Bacillariophyta; Bacillariophyceae; Surirellales; Surirellaceae.
AUUCCAGCUCCAAUAGCGUAUAUUAAAGUUGUUGCAGUUAAAAAGCUCGUAGUUGAAUUUUUGCUUGCCCCCGAUGUCCGUUAUUUUGGUACGUUCGGGGGCGUGCAUCCUUGGGUGGAACCUGUGUGGCAUUAGGUUGUCGUGCAGGGGAUGCUCAUCGUUUACUGUGAAAAAAUUAGAGUGUUCAAAGCAGGCUUACGCCGUUGAAUAUAUUAGCAUGGAAUAAUAAGAUAGGACCUUGGUACUAUUUUGUUGGUUUGCGCACCGAGGUAAUGAUUAACAGGGACAGUUGGGGGUAUUCGUAUUCCAUUGUCAGAGGUGAAAUUCUUGGAUUUCUGGAAGACGAACUACUGCGAAAGCAUUUACCAAGGAUGUUUUCAUUG